UACGUAGGGUGCAAGCGUUACUCGGAAUUACUGGGCGUAAAGCGUGCGCAGGCGGUGAUGUAAGACAGAUGUGAAAUCCCCGGGCUCAACCUGGGAACUGCAUUUGUGACUGCAUCGCUGGAGUGCGGCAGAGGGGGAUGGAAUUCCUGGUGUAGCAGUGAAAUGCGUAGAUAUCAGGAGGAACACCGAUGGCGAAGGCAGGUCUCUGGGCUGAAACUGAUGCUCAUGCACGAAAGCGUGGGGAGCAAACAGG
This 253-nucleotide ribosomal RNA is filed under the name uncultured bacterium. RNAcentral's name for it is "partial 16S ribosomal RNA". It matches the Rfam family "Bacterial small subunit ribosomal RNA", at positions 524 to 776 of the family's 1533-position model. The record is from RNAcentral.